AGUGGCGGACGGGUGAGUAACGCGUGAGAAUCUGCCUUGGGGUCGGGGACAACCACUGGAAACGGUGGCUAAUACCGGAUAAGCCGAUUGGUGAAAGAUUUAUUGCCCGAAGAGGAGCUCGCGUCUGAUUAGCUAGUUGGUGAGGUAAGAGCUCACCAAGGCAGCGAUCAGUAGCUGGUCUGAGAGGACGAUCAGCCACACUGGGACUGAGACACGGCCCAGACUCCUACGGGAGGCAGCAGUGGGGAAUUUUCCGCAAUGGGCGAAAGCCUGACGGAGCAAGACCGCGUGAGGGAGGAAGGCUCUUGGGUUGUAAACCUCUUUUCUCAGGGAAGAAGCUCUGACGGUACCUGAGGAAUCAGCCUCGGCUAACUCCGUGCCAGCAGCCGCGGUAAUACGGAGGAGGCAAGCGUUAUCCGGAAUUAUUGGGCGUAAAGCGUCCGCAGGUGGCGAUUCAAGUCUGCUGUCAAAGCACGGGGCUUAACUCCGUAAAGGCAGUGGAAACUGAAUAGCUAUAGUGCCGUAGGGGUAGAGGAAAUUCCCGGUGUAGCGGUGAAAUGCGUAGAGAUCGGGAAGAACAUCGGUGGCGAAAGCGCUCUACUGGACGGCAACUGACACUCAGGGACGAAAGCUAGGGGAGCGAAUGGGAUUAGAUACCCC
RNAcentral lists this ribosomal RNA (660 nucleotides) under uncultured bacterium. RNAcentral describes it as "bacterial SSU rRNA". It matches the Rfam family "Bacterial small subunit ribosomal RNA", at positions 94 to 788 of the family's 1533-position model. The record is from RNAcentral.